AAGACAAAUCUACACUUCAAGCUUCUCUAAUUUCUCCAUAGUUAAAAAUUAGUACAAAUUAGGUACUAAGCUCCAAGAUCCUAAAACUAAGGAUAAGAGGGUUAUAGAAUGAUGGAUCCCUAAAAAAUGAGCAUUUUGAACUUUUAAAAGAGAAUUUAGGGUCCGCUAUGUUCUUUUACAACUUUGCCUUUGGUUGAAAACCUCAUUAUCCUGCGAUCGUGUGUGAAUCUGCCACGAUUGCUGAAUUUUUCAAGUGAUCGCAACCUGUUGAUUUCUUGACUUACCAUGAUCAUGGUGUCCAAUCUGCGAUCAUGGUACAUGAGGCCCAGUUUUCAAAUGCUUUUAAACUUUUGAACUUCUGUUCCCACUUUGAUCCUUUUCAGCUCAUUUUGCAUUUUCUUGUCUCAAUAUUUGUAUAACUAUAAAAUAGGAGAAUUAGUGUAUUUAAC
This 449-nucleotide long non-coding RNA is filed under the name Capsicum annuum. RNAcentral describes it as "long non-coding RNA (CANN_LNC015866)". The record is from RNAcentral. Lineage: Eukaryota; Viridiplantae; Streptophyta; Magnoliopsida; Solanales; Solanaceae.